This 449-nucleotide ribosomal RNA is filed under the name uncultured bacterium. RNAcentral's name for it is "bacterial SSU rRNA". It matches the Rfam family "Bacterial small subunit ribosomal RNA", at positions 355 to 796 of the family's 1533-position model. The record is from RNAcentral.
UCGAGAAUCUUUCGCAAUGGGCGAAAGCCUGACGAAGCGACGCCGUGUGUGUGAUGAAGGCCUUCGGGUUGUAAAGCACUUUCGCCUGAGAACAAGAAAACGUGACUAAUACUCAUGUGAUUUGAGAGUACCAGGUAAAGAAGCACCGGCUAACUACGUGCCAGCAGCUGCGGUAAUACGUAGGGUGCAAGCAUUAAUCGGAUUUAUUGGGCGUAAAGGGCGCGUAGGCGGAAAUGUCAGUCAGAUGUGAAAUCCCGGGGCUCAACCUCGGAACCGCAUUUGAAACUACAUUUCUAGAGGGUAGGCGGAGAAAACGGAAUUCCACAAGUAGCGGUGAAAUGCGUAGAUAUGUGGAAGAACACCAGUGGCGAAGGCGGUUUUCUAGCUUAUACCUGACGCUGAUGCGCGAAAGCAAGGGGAGCAAACAGGAUUAGAUACCCCCGUAGUCC